This 190-nucleotide small RNA is filed under the name Pogona vitticeps (central bearded dragon). Its description in RNAcentral is "7SK RNA (ENSPVIG00000022177.1)". It matches the Rfam family "7SK RNA". From Rfam's summary of the family: 7SK was discovered as an abundant small nuclear RNA in the mid-70s but a possible function has only recently been suggested. The record is from RNAcentral. Lineage: Eukaryota; Metazoa; Chordata; Lepidosauria; Squamata; Agamidae.
GGAUGUGAGGGUGAUCUAGCUGCAACAUCUGUCGCCCCAUUGGUUGCCUGGGUUGAUUUGCUCACAAAGCCGUGUGCUUGGUAAAAGAGGAUGGCCAUCCCAGAGAGAAGGAGUGUACUGUUCUUUGGUCAAGGGUAUACAAUAGCAAUGCAGUGCUCUCAAGUCCAUCUAGGAAAAGUGGCUGUUAUCU